This 253-nucleotide ribosomal RNA is filed under the name uncultured bacterium. RNAcentral's name for it is "partial 16S ribosomal RNA". It matches the Rfam family "Bacterial small subunit ribosomal RNA", at positions 524 to 776 of the family's 1533-position model. The record is from RNAcentral.
UACGGGGGGGCAAGCGUUGUUCGGAAUUACUGGGCGUAAAGGGCUUGUAGGUGGCCAACUAAGUCAAACGUGAAAUCCCUCGGCUUAACCGGGGAACUGCGUCUGAUACUGGAUGGCUUGAAUCCGGGAGAGGGAUGCAGAAUUCCAGGUGUAGCGGUGAAAUGCGUAGAUAUCUGGAGGAAUACCGGUGGCGAAGGCGGCAUCCUGGACCGGCAUUGACGCUGAGACGGCGAAAGCGUGGGGAGCGAACAGG